Molecule: ribosomal RNA, 255 nt
Filed under: uncultured bacterium
Lineage: Bacteria
Description: partial 16S ribosomal RNA
Rfam family: Bacterial small subunit ribosomal RNA
Source: RNAcentral
UACGAAGGGGGCUAGCGUUGUUCGGAUUUACUGGGCGUAAAGCGCACGUAGGCGGAUUGUUAAGUCGGGGGUGAAAUCCUGGAGCUCAACUCCAGAACUGCCUUCGAUACUGUAGAGCUUGAGUUCGGGAGAGGUGAGUGGAACUGCGAGUGUAGAGGUGAAAUUCGUAGAUAUUCGCAAAGAACACCAGUGGCGAAGGCGGCUCACUGGCCCGAUACUGACGCUGAGGUGCGAAAGCGUGGGGAGCAAACAGGG